Molecule: ribosomal RNA, 810 nt
Filed under: uncultured Staphylococcus sp.
Lineage: Bacteria; Bacillati; Bacillota; Bacilli; Caryophanales; Staphylococcaceae
Description: bacterial SSU rRNA
Rfam family: Bacterial small subunit ribosomal RNA
Source: RNAcentral
CGUUAGCGGCGGACGGGUGAGUAACACGUGGAUAACCUACCUAUAAGACUGGGAUAACUUCGGGAAACCGGAGCUAAUACCGGAUAAUAUAUUGAACCGCAUGGUUCAAUAGUGAAAGACGGUUUUGCUGUCACUUAUAGAUGGAUCCGCGCCGCAUUAGCUAGUUGGUAAGGUAACGGCUUACCAAGGCAACGAUGCGUAGCCGACCUGAGAGGGUGAUCGGCCACACUGGAACUGAGACACGGUCCAGACUCCUACGGGAGGCAGCAGUAGGGAAUCUUCCGCAAUGGGCGAAAGCCUGACGGAGCAACGCCGCGUGAGCGAUGAAGGUCUUCGGAUCGUAAAACUCUGUUAUUAGGGAAGAACAAAUGUGUAAGUAACUAUGCACGUCUUGACGGUACCUAAUCAGAAAGCCACGGCUAACUACGUGCCAGCAGCCGCGGUAAUACGUAGGUGGCAAGCGUUAUCCGGAAUUAUUGGGCGUAAAGCGCGCGUAGGCGGUUUUUUAAGUCUGAUGUGAAAGCCCACGGCUCAACCGUGGAGGGUCAUUGGAAACUGGAAAACUUGAGUGCAGAAGAGGAAAGUGGAAUUCCAUGUGUAGCGGUGAAAUGCGCAGAGAUAUGGAGGAACACCAGUGGCGAAGGCGACUUUCUGGUCUGUAACUGACGCUGAUGUGCGAAAGCGUGGGGAUCAAACAGGAUUAGAUACCUGGUAGUCCACGCCGUAAACGAUGAGUGCUAAGUGUUAGGGGGUUUCCGCCCCUUAGUGCUGCAGCUAACGCAUUAAGCACUCCGCCUGGGGAGUACGACC